This 388-nucleotide ribosomal RNA is filed under the name uncultured bacterium. Its description in RNAcentral is "bacterial SSU rRNA". It matches the Rfam family "Bacterial small subunit ribosomal RNA", at positions 420 to 806 of the family's 1533-position model. The record is from RNAcentral.
GGGUUGUAAACUGCUUUUUAAGGUGAAUAAAGAGGGGCACGUGUGCCCUGUUGCAUGUAGCCUUGGAAUAAGGACCGGCUAAUUCCGUGCCAGCAGCCGCGGUAAUACGGAAGGUCCGGGUGUUAUCCGGAUUUAUUGGGUUUAAAGGGAGCGUAGGCCGCAGGUUAAGUGUGUUGUGAAAAGCAGUCGCCCAACGUCUGCCUUGCAGCGCAAACUGUCCUGCUUGAGUGCGCACAACGCAGGCGGAAUUCGUCGUGUAGCGGUGAAAUGCUUAGAUAUGACGAAGAACUCCGAUUGCGAAGGCAGCUUGCGGGAGCGCAACUGACGCUGAAGCUCGAAAGUGCGGGUAUCGAACAGGAUUAGAUACCCUGGUAGUCCGCACGGUAAA